This 205-nucleotide long non-coding RNA is filed under the name Elaeis guineensis (African oil palm). RNAcentral describes it as "long non-coding RNA (EGUI_LNC015126)". The record is from RNAcentral. Lineage: Eukaryota; Viridiplantae; Streptophyta; Magnoliopsida; Arecales; Arecaceae.
UCAUGCUCUUAUCAGAUAAAAGUUUAAAAAUAACUGAACUCUAUCCCAUCCCUUGGCCUCCAUCUAUAAAAGGAUGGAUUCUCUUGGGCGCAUCGAAGCAAUCAAGCUAGGGUUCCACCUUGUGCUGCCCCCUUGUCCUUCAAUCAUUCACAUACCCAAACACCCCUUCUAGUCAGCCAUAUAGAGAGAGAAAUCAGAGGGGGAG